RNAcentral lists this transfer RNA (72 nucleotides) under Microseira wollei NIES-4236. RNAcentral describes it as "tRNA-Ala". It matches the Rfam family "tRNA". From Rfam's summary of the family: Transfer RNA (tRNA) molecules are approximately 80 nucleotides in length. Lineage: Bacteria; Bacillati; Cyanobacteriota; Cyanophyceae; Aerosakkonematales; Aerosakkonemataceae. The record is from RNAcentral.
GGGGACUUGAUGUAACGGGAACAUGCGAUCCUUGCAAGAUUGCUACAGGGGUUCAACUCCCCUAGUCUCCAC